GGAAGAUAGGUAGCGAAAGAGCGGGCCCGCGCGCGAGGCUCGCGCCCUCUUCAAAAUAAAUGAAUCCCAACGGCCAUCUGGGAAGGAGAUGGAGGAAGAUAACAAUGGCUCGUCGGCCCAGACGUCUUUGCCCAAAAGGCGGGGCUGCCGUGGUGUAAUAAUAGUAAGAGCGGAAUGGACGAAGGAAGCGAGGCAUCCAAUGGAGUCGGAGUCUCGAGCCCUGCGUCAGAUGGAAAAAAAGCAUCUCAGCUUAAAAGCGUUCGCAGGAGAAGCUGAACCCCGGUUUACUCAAUUAAUCCAGUUUCCUGUGGCAGUCUCCGCAAGCCUUAUGCUAAUCCCUUGAGCCGCUCGGUCCACUCCACGCAAGAGGUGAAAAGGAAGAGAAAGCAGCCAAAAGGGAAAGAAAGUCUGAAAAAAGUCCUCUUUUCACCUCGGUCUAUGUACCAGAGCCAGCUGGCUGCAAACUCUCCAUUCAGGGAAUUUCAAAACAUUUUCCCUCCUCUCUUGGGGCUCCUGCACAGACAGCAGCCCAGGAGGUGGUAGUUACUAACAAUAGACCACUCAUGUUGCAGAAAAACACGCAGAUGCAGCCCCCCACGUGCUGAAGGCCUUUUAUGGAAAAAAAUGUUCCUGGUCAUGCAUAUUAAUAAUGGUGGCCGCCUAGAAAGAUUUCCUAAAAUAAAGACAUUUGACUACAUUAAAGGCAGCCGGCCCUUGACAGCUUCUUGAAUGGAUGCCAUUUGAGGAGGCGUGCUGCUGCAUCUUAGAUUCUUUCAACUUGUCAUUUAGCACAAAAACAAACAUUGGUCAUUAAGUGAGGGGUUGAAACGACAUGUUUACAGUGGUGAUCCUGGAAUAAUCAUUAAGAGGAGAGAGAGAGAGAGAGGUGAAAGGAUUAGAGCGCACGACAGGGAGACCACAGAAGUUUAUAGGCUUCCCAAGAAAUUGGGGGGGUGGGAGGCUGAGCAUUAAAAAUGCAAAACAGCCAUACUUGAUCUAGGUUACAUUGGAAUACUUUUUUCCCCAGAGAUAUUCCUCAGAAAUAUGGAGUAAUUUUUAUUAUUUCAUUUUUAUAACCGAAAGCCAGUCUAGGGGAGGAAAAAUAAUGAUUGCUUUUCCAUGCUGGGUCCAUUUUACCUGCUAUAUAGACAAAGAUGUCUGUAGGUUGUUAAAAAAAAGGCAAUAUGGCUACAAGUUAACCAAAUCUGUGUACAAGCAACACACAAAAAACACAUUGGUUGCCCAAUCAUGCUACCAUUGACUUGGUUCCACCUUGUUAG
This is a long non-coding RNA of Ahaetulla prasina, 1280 nucleotides long. RefSeq lists it as uncharacterized. The transcript has 3 exons. NCBI's taxonomy places the organism in Eukaryota, Metazoa, Chordata, Lepidosauria, Squamata, Colubridae. The record is from RefSeq and is a predicted model, not a curated record.